Molecule: ribosomal RNA, 449 nt
Filed under: uncultured bacterium
Lineage: Bacteria
Description: partial 16S ribosomal RNA
Rfam family: Bacterial small subunit ribosomal RNA
Source: RNAcentral
AUUGAACGCUGGCGGCAGGCCUAACACAUGCAAGUCGAACGGACCCUUCGGGGUUAGCGGCGGACGGGUGAGUAACGCGUGGGAACGUGCCCUUUGGUUCGGAAUAGCCUCGGGAAACUGGGAGUAAUACCGGAUAAGCCCUUCGGGGGAAAGAUUUAUCGCCAAAGGAUCGGCCCGCGUUGGAUUAGGUAGUUGGUGGGGUAAUGGCCUACCAAGCCGACGAUCCAUAGCUGGUUUGAGAGGAUGAUCAGCCACACUGGGACUGAGACACGGCCCAGACUCCUACGGGAGGCAGCAGUGGGGAAUCUUAGACAAUGGGGGAAACCCUGAUCUAGCCAUGCCGCGUGAUCGAUGAAGGCCUUAGGGUUGUAAAGAUCUUUCAGUUGGGAAGAUAAUGACGGUACCAACAGAAGAAGCCCCGGCUAACUCCGUGCCAGCCGCCGCAGUAA